AAGAAAUAACAAUACGGGGCUUAAUGUCUUGUAAUUGGAAUGAUGGGAAUUUAAACCUCUUCCAGAGUAUCAAUUGGAGGGCAAGUCUGGUGCCAGCAGCCGCGGUAAUUCCAGCUCCAAUAGCGUAUAUUAAAAUUGUUGCAGUUAAAAAGCUCGUAGUUGAAUUUCUGCUGCAUUGCUUUUGCUCCUUUACGAGUCUUUGCAUUGUGGCUUAUUUCGGACUUUGUUUUACAAUGUCCGGAUGUUUACUUUGAGAAAAUUAGAGUGCUCAAAGCAGGCUUUCGCCUUGAAUAGUUUAGCAUGGAAUAAUAAAGUAGGACUUUGGUUCUAUUUUGUUGGUUUUAGGUACCAAAGUAAUGGUUAAUAGGAACAGUUGGGGGCAUUCGUAUUUAACUGUCAGAGGUGAAAUUCUUAGAUUUGUUAAAGACGAACUACUGCGAAAGCAUUUGCCAAGGAUGUUUUCAUUAAUCAAGAACG
This 477-nucleotide ribosomal RNA is filed under the name Theileria ovis. RNAcentral's name for it is "SSU rRNA". It matches the Rfam family "Eukaryotic small subunit ribosomal RNA", at positions 472 to 985 of the family's 1831-position model. The record is from RNAcentral. Lineage: Eukaryota; Apicomplexa; Aconoidasida; Piroplasmida; Theileriidae.